RNAcentral lists this ribosomal RNA (439 nucleotides) under uncultured bacterium. RNAcentral's name for it is "partial 16S ribosomal RNA". It matches the Rfam family "Bacterial small subunit ribosomal RNA", at positions 338 to 795 of the family's 1533-position model. The record is from RNAcentral.
CCUACGGGAUGCAGCAGUGGGGAAUAUUGCACAAUGGGCGAAAGCCUGCUGCAGCAACGCCGCGUGAGUGAUGAAGGCCUUCGGGUCGUAAAGCUCUGUCCUCAAGGAAGAUGAUGACGGUACUUGAGGAGGAGGCCCCGGCUAACUACGGGCCAGCAGCCUCGGUAAUACGUGGGGGGCUAGCGUUAUACGGACUUACUGGGCGUAAAGGGUGCGUAGGUGGUUUCUUAAGUCAGAGGUGAAAGGCUACGGCUCAACCGUAGUAAGCCUUUGACACUGGGGAACGUGAGUGCAGGAGAGGAGAGUGGAAUUCCUAGUGUAGCGGUGAAAUGCGUAGAGAUUAGGAGGAACACCAGUUGCGAAGGCGGCUCUCUGGACUGUAACUGACACUGAGGCACGAAAGCGUGGGGAGCAAACAGGAUUAGAUACCCGAGUAGUC